This 450-nucleotide ribosomal RNA is filed under the name uncultured bacterium. RNAcentral's name for it is "bacterial SSU rRNA". It matches the Rfam family "Bacterial small subunit ribosomal RNA", at positions 354 to 796 of the family's 1533-position model. The record is from RNAcentral.
GUGGGGAAUAUUGGACAAUGGGCGCAAGCCUGAUCCAGCCAUACCGCGUGGGUGAAGAAGGCCUUCGGGUUGUAAAGCCCUUUUGUUGGGAAAGAAAAGCAGCCGGUUAAUACCCGGUUGUUCUGACGGUACCCAAAGAAUAAGCACCGGCUAACUUCGUGCCAGCAGCCGCGGUAAUACGAAGGGUGCAAGCGUUACUCGGAAUUACUGGGCGUAAAGCGUGCGUAGGUGGUUGUUUAAGUCUGUCGUGAAAGCCCUGGGCUCAACCUGGGAAUUGCGAUGGAAACUGGGCGACUAGAGUGUGGCAGAGGAUAGUGGAAUUCCUGGUGUAGCAGUGAAAUGCGUAGAGAUCAGGAGGAACAUCCGUGGCGAAGGCGACUGUCUGGGCCAACACUGACACUGAGGCACGAAAGCGUGGGGAGCAAACAGGAUUAGAAACCCUAGUAGUCC